Molecule: non-coding RNA, 78 nt
Organism: Flavobacterium sp. LM5
Lineage: Bacteria; Pseudomonadati; Bacteroidota; Flavobacteriia; Flavobacteriales; Flavobacteriaceae
Source: Rfam
CCCUAGCCCUGAUAAUAGCGGCAUCCUUUUAUUUUUUCUUUCAAAAAAUAAAAGAUACAGCGAAAAGCAGGAUUAGCU